GGACUCAUUACUCUCAAAAGCCCCUGGCAUUGUGGAUUAUCUGGCUGUCAUCUUGCUUCUGUUGCUGUGAACUCUGAGGGUUGGGGGCUGCGGCUCCCAUCCCCUGUCAGUGAAACCCGCUGGGUGCUGUGCUGUGCACACCUUGACUGUCAGUGUGCAGGGCGUCCUGAGGCACGGGUUGCACUGGAGGACGGGAUGCCACAGCCACCCUGCCACAGCAUCAGAGGCCACUGCCUGGCCCACACAAGGGUGUGGGGGAGGUGUAGUCAUUUCAGCAGGAGGAGUCAUGCUCCUCAUUUUCAAGAAAGGGCCACCUGCUUUUGCAAAACCGAGGCGGAAGUCCAAACACAGAAGGAGCUGCCCAGUUGCACAUACAACUUGAUUGAUUUUGAAAGGAAAGCACGCCAUUGUGCUUCUGUUAUGAAUAAUGGUAAUUGAGACAUGACCUUCAUGAAAUUUCAGAAAAGGAUCCAAGUAGCUGUACAGUGCUGGUCAACUGGAAACACUGUAGACACUCCCAGAAGGAUCUGGGUUGCCACCUCAGGAAAGCUGCUCUGGGCUCCAGGGUGGGCUCCAGGAGGUGGCCUGGUAGACUUCUGCCUGACCUGUGAAAUACAACCAUAGAAACAAAAGGGUAUUAGCUUGUUUUCAUUUUCAAAAUUGAAUAUCUUAUCUCCAGGUUUGUUUUAUUGUUGUUGAAUUAAAA
Molecule: long non-coding RNA, 706 nt
Filed under: Homo sapiens (human)
Lineage: Eukaryota; Metazoa; Chordata; Mammalia; Primates; Hominidae
Description: long non-coding RNA NONHSAT158626
Source: RNAcentral